Molecule: ribosomal RNA, 466 nt
Filed under: uncultured Leptonema sp.
Lineage: Bacteria; Pseudomonadati; Spirochaetota; Leptospiria; Leptospirales; Leptospiraceae
Description: bacterial SSU rRNA
Rfam family: Bacterial small subunit ribosomal RNA
Source: RNAcentral
ACGGGGCCCGCACAAGCGGUGGAGCAUGUGGUUUAAUUUCGAUGAUACGCGAAAAACCUUACCCCGGGCUUGACAUGCAUCAGACAGGCGUAGAGAUACGCCCUCCGCGAGGCUGGUGCACAGGUGCUGCAUGGUUGUCGUCAGCUCGUGUCGUGAGAUGUUGGGUUAAGUCCCGCAACGAGCGCAACCCCUACCGUGUGUUACCAUCAUUAAGUUGGGGACUCGCACGGAACUGCCGGUGAUAAACCGGAGGAAGGUGGGGAUGACGUCAAAUCCUCAUGGCCUUUAUGGGUAGGGCUUCACACGUAAUACAAUGGUCGGUACAGAGGGUUGCCAACCCGCGAGGGGGAGCCAAUCCCAGAAAACCGAUCGUAGUCCGGAUUGCAGUCUGCAACUCGACUGCAUGAAGUCGGAAUCGCUAGUAAUCGCGGAUCAGCAUGUCGCGGUGAAUACGUUCCCGGGCCUU